RNAcentral lists this transfer RNA (72 nucleotides) under Bos taurus (domestic cattle). It matches the Rfam family "tRNA". Rfam says of the family: Transfer RNA (tRNA) molecules are approximately 80 nucleotides in length. Their secondary structure includes four short double-helical elements and three loops (D, anti-codon, and T loops). Further hydrogen bonds mediate the characteristic L-shaped molecular structure. tRNAs have two regions of fundamental functional importance: the anti-codon, which is responsible for specific mRNA codon recognition, and the 3' end, to which the tRNAs corresponding amino acid is attached (by aminoacyl-tRNA synthetases). tRNAs cope with the degeneracy of the genetic code in two manners: having more than one tRNA (with a specific anti-codon) for a particular amino acid; and 'wobble' base-pairing, i.e. permitting non-standard base-pairing at the 3rd anti-codon position. RNAcentral also lists the same sequence under 5 other names. The record is from Rfam by way of RNAcentral. Lineage: Eukaryota; Metazoa; Chordata; Mammalia; Artiodactyla; Bovidae.
UCCCUGGUGGCUCAGUUGGUAAAGAAUCCGCCUGCAAUGCAGGAGACCUAGGUUCGAUCCCUGGGUUGGGAA